Molecule: ribosomal RNA, 180 nt
Filed under: uncultured bacterium
Lineage: Bacteria
Description: partial 16S ribosomal RNA
Rfam family: Bacterial small subunit ribosomal RNA
Source: RNAcentral
CGACUCCAUGAAGCUGGAUUCGCUAGUAAUCGCGCAUCAGCCACGGCGCGGUGAAUACGUUCCCGGGCCUUGUACACACCGCCCGUCAAGCCAUGGGAGCCGGGGGUGCCUGAAGGCCGUGACCGCGAGGAGCGGCCUAGGGUAAAACUGGUGACUGGGGCUAAGUCGUAACAAGGUACC